Molecule: ribosomal RNA, 639 nt
Filed under: Triticum aestivum (bread wheat)
Lineage: Eukaryota; Viridiplantae; Streptophyta; Magnoliopsida; Poales; Poaceae
Description: partial small subunit ribosomal RNA
Source: RNAcentral
AUGGCCACCCUUGUCAAGCACCUCAUCCUGUGCUCCAGCACUACCACAUCGUCCUCGGCUUCUCCGUCCCCAUCGAACCGUCGCUCGCCGUCGUCUCCGGAUGGCGCCGACAAGCGCGCCCACCUGACGCAGUCGUCCACGCGCCGGCUCGCGGUCGCCGCGUCAACGGCAAUGGUCGCAACGGCGGCACUUUCCGCCCGGCGACCCGCGGCGCCGCACCCAGCCAUGGCCGCGGUGCGGGCAUUGGCGCCCCCGGGAACCGUGCCGAGGUGGGGCACGAGGUCGUAUGUCAGAGAGAGGUUCUUCGAGCCCGGGCUGACCACGGAGGAGGCCGCGGCGCGCAUCCGGCAAACGGCGGAGGGGAUGCGGACGCUUCGGCCAAUGCUGGAGACCAUGUCCUGGAAGUACGUACUGUUCUACGUGCGGCUCAAGUCCAAGUACCUCGACCUCGACCUCACCACUGCCAUGGCCGGUGUCCCCGAGCCGCGCCGCCCCGAGUACAUCCUCGUCGCUAACGAGCUCGUCGACAAUAUGACCGAGUUCGACCGGUUUGUGCGGACUCCGAAGGUGUACGAGUCGUACCUCUACUAUGAGAAGACCCUGAAGUCGCUGGAUGACGUGGCAGAGUUCCUUGGAUGA